RNAcentral lists this ribosomal RNA (406 nucleotides) under uncultured bacterium. Its description in RNAcentral is "partial 16S ribosomal RNA". It matches the Rfam family "Bacterial small subunit ribosomal RNA", at positions 30 to 526 of the family's 1533-position model. The record is from RNAcentral.
AUUGAACGCUGGCGGCAGGCCUAACACAUGCAAGUCGAACGAGUGGCGGACGGGUGAGUAAUGUCUGGGAAACUGCCUGAUGGAGGGGGAUACCUACUGGAAACGGUAGCUAAUACCGCAUACCCUCAGAUGUGCCCAGAUGGGCUUAGCUAGUUGGUGGGGUAACGGCUCACCAAGGCGACGAACCCUAGCUGGUCUGAGAGGAUGACCAGCCACCCUGGAACUGGGACACGGUCCGUACUCCUAGGUGAGGAAGCAGUGGGGAAUAUUGCACAAUGGGCGAAAGCCUGAUGCAGCCAUGCGGCGUGUAUGACGAAGGCUUUGGGGUGGUAAAGUACUUUCAGCGGGGAGGCGUUACCCGCAGAAGAAGCACCGGCUAACUCCGUGCCAGCAGCCGCGGUAAUAC